AAGGAGGUUUUCGACUCCAGCCGACUGUGAACAUACCCUACGUUGCUUCGGCGGGGCCCCGCGCCCGCCGAGCUGACGCAAACUCUUUUUUGAACCUGGAACUCUGAUUAUACAUUAAAAAAAAAUGAAUCAAAACUUUCAACAACGGAUCUCUUGGUUCUGGCAUCAAUGAAGAACGCAGCGAAAUGAAAUACGUCAUGUGAAUUGCAGAAGUCACUGAAUCCUCGAAUCUUUGAACGCACAUUGCGCCCGCAAGGAUUCUGGCGGAAUUGCCUGUUCGAGCGUCAUUACAACCCUCGAGCCCCCCCCCUUCCGGGGGGAGGGGCCCGGUGUUGGGGGACGGCCCGCCCUCGCUCAGGCCGCCCCCGAAAUGGAUCGGCGGCAACGUCGUCCGCCUCCCCUGCGCACCAAAAGAGAAUCUCGCAGGGUGAGGGAGCCGCGGUACAUGGAGUAAAACGAACAACCCUUCAAGAGUUGCCCGCGGAUGAGGGAGGAAGACCCCCACAUUUUAUGCUUAUCAGUAAGCACGAGGAAUCAGGUAGGAAUACCCGCUGAACUUAAGCAUAUCAAUAAGCGGAGGAACGCAACGGGAGCGCGCCGCGGCCACUGCCGUAAAACGCACAACCCUUCAAGAG
Molecule: small RNA, 635 nt
Filed under: Hypocreales sp. 853 FbG
Lineage: Eukaryota; Fungi; Ascomycota; Sordariomycetes; Hypocreales
Description: eukaryotic LSU rRNA
Rfam family: 5.8S ribosomal RNA (bases 134-287)
Source: RNAcentral